Molecule: ribosomal RNA, 353 nt
Filed under: uncultured bacterium
Lineage: Bacteria
Description: bacterial SSU rRNA
Rfam family: Bacterial small subunit ribosomal RNA
Source: RNAcentral
GGGCCCGCACAAGCGGUGGAGCAUGUGGUUUAAUUCGAUGCAACGCGAAGAACCUUACCAGGGUUUGACAUCCUGCGAAUCUCUUGGAAACAGGAGAGUGCCUUCGGGAACGCAGUGACAGGUGGUGCAUGGCUGUCGUCAGCUCGUGUCGUGAGGUGUCAGGUUAAGUCCUAUAACGAGCGCAACCCCUAUCGUUAGUUGCCAGCAAGUAAUGUUGGGGACUCAUAGGAGACUGCCGGUGAUAAACCGGAGGAAGGUGGGGACGACGUCAAGUCAUCAUGCCCCUUAUGUCCAGGCUGCACGCAUGCUACAAUGGCAAGUACAACGAGUCGCAAUACCGCGAGGUAGGAGCA